CGCAAGGCGGCAGACUACCAUGCAAGUCGAGCGGUAGCACAGAGAGCUUGCUCUCGGGUGACGAGCGGCGGACGGGUGAGUAAUGUCUGGGAAACUGCCUGAUGGAGGGGGAUAACUACUGGAAACGGUAGCUAAUACCGCAUAACGUCGCAGACCAAAGUGGGGGACCUUCGGGCCUCAGCCAUCAGAUGUGCCCAGAUGGGAUUGCUAGUAGGUGGGGAACGGCUCACCUAGGCGAGAUCCCUAGCUGGUCUGAGAGGAUGACCAGCCACACUGGAACUGAGACACGGUCCAGACUCCUACCGGAUGCACCAUUGGGGAAUAUUGCAAAUUGGGCGCAAGCCUGAUGCCGCCAUGCCACGUGUGUUAAGA
RNAcentral lists this ribosomal RNA (372 nucleotides) under Klebsiella pneumoniae. Its description in RNAcentral is "bacterial SSU rRNA". It matches the Rfam family "Bacterial small subunit ribosomal RNA", at positions 38 to 411 of the family's 1533-position model. The record is from RNAcentral. Lineage: Bacteria; Pseudomonadati; Pseudomonadota; Gammaproteobacteria; Enterobacterales; Enterobacteriaceae.